Molecule: non-coding RNA, 148 nt
Organism: Gossypium raimondii (Peruvian cotton)
Lineage: Eukaryota; Viridiplantae; Streptophyta; Magnoliopsida; Malvales; Malvaceae
Source: Rfam
UAUUAAAUAUUUCAUUUAUUUGUACUAUUAAAAACUAACAUGAUUGACGAAAUAUCCAAACAAUGACACGUGGCAUGCCAUAUGUAUCUCAUGUUGAUAUAUAAAAACCGAUUUUUAAUAGUAGAAAUAGAUAAAAAAAAAUUUAACA